UUUUUUUUUCUUUUUUUUUUUUCUUGCUUUUUAGGGCUGCACCCAAGGCAUGUUAAAGCUCCCAGGCUAGGGGUCGAAUCGGAGCUGCAGCUGCCAACUUAUGCCACAGCCAUAGCAAUGCCAGAGCUGAGCUGAGUCUGCUAUCUACACUGCAGUUCAUGGCAAUGCUGGAUUCUUAACCCACUGAGUGAGGCCAGGGAUCAAACCCACAUCCUCAUGGAUACUAGUCAGGUUCAUAACCAUUGAGCCUCAAUGGGAGCUCCUCAAAUAUAUUUUCUUAACCCCCUUACUGAAAAGGCUGGAAAGGAAUGAAAUCCACUGACAGUGAACACACACACACACACACACACACAGAAAGAAUGCUUAAAUAAAUAUGGAGAAAUGUUAAUAAUUAGGGAAUCUGGGUGAAGGGAAUGCAGGAGUUCUUAGUAUAUUCUUGCAAAUUUUCUGUAAAUAUGAAAUUAUUUCAAAACAAAAAUUUACAAAAAGGAAUUCAGUGUUGGACUGGUGGAGUUUGAGAUAUCUGGUAGACAUCUGAAUGGAGAUGUCCCUCAGGCAGUACUGUAUUCUGGAGUUUAAGAUAAAAGUUCGGGCUGAAGAUAAAACAUUGUGAGGUCUUCAUUAUAAAUGGAGUUUAAGGCUGUGAAAAUUGAUAAGAUACCAAGGUAGUAAAUUAAGGUAGAAUAGAGCCAAGGACGGAGUCCUGGAACAAUUAAAUAUCUAAUUUAUAUUUCCCUUAAUAAUGCUCUCUUCUUGACUUUUAGUCACUUGCCUAAAAUGGAGACCUUGGGAUUUAUUUAAAAGCCAGCUGUGAAUAGAGAAGAAACACUGUUAGCAGCUCAGGAUUGGAGUUGCUGUUUCCUACCUUCAGCAUUUGAUGACCCCAGCUCAUUCUUACCCCAGACAUUUUGGUGCCUGAUUGCCAGCAGGUUGUCCACAGAAAUUAUCUGUGUUCUAGAAAGUGAUGUCAUCUUGCGUGGCAGGUGGCAGCUGGGUAGAAAUAGGCCUGCCUAUCUCACGACAGGGCAGAACUUAGGAGUGCAAACUCUUUCUUUCAAAUCACAGGCAAACUUCCUGAUACCAAAAUCAUCCUUCAUCUCACAAGCUCCUCUCAUUAGUUUCCUGGUAGAAGGCAGCUGUGCUGCCAGGGAUAGAAACCCCUGGCUAGCCAUAAUUAGAUCUGAAAGAGCACCCCUUUAGUAUGCUCAGCCUUAGUGUCAACCAAUGUUAAUGGCAGUGGGGUUUUUUUUGUGGGGGGGGGUGGGAUUGUACAUAAAAUGAACGAGCUAGGAAGCCUAACAGACAGCAACCCCACCCUACCCCCAAACUGCUGGAUCACCUAUGCAUUGCCUCUGGUCAGUAGGCUUGUUUGAAACAAAUGUCACAGGGAAUGUGUGGUGUUGGCAAUGACCUUUAACAAGAAACUAGAAAUAAAACCUUGGUUCCCUGGUCCAAAGAUUUGCCAUCAGAAAAUCUAUGUCUGUCUUUUGAUACUUUCACUGUGCCUGGAAAUUAUUCUGUACUCAUCUUCCAGGAAGCAGCUUCUCUCCAACCAACUAAUAAUAAGCAUACCUAAAUCUCAUAGAGCACUUUGCAAUUUAUAGGCCCUUGUGUAUCCAUUAUCUCAUUUAAUCUUGACAACAGAACUACAAAAGAGUCUUAACCCCAUUUUGUAGUGAAAGAAACUUAGCUAAGUAUCAUACCAUCAGUAAGCAGCUGUGACUCUUUUCCCUGAUGAAUUGCUAUAGAAAGUAUUUGAAUUUCCACUUUGAACCAGUUGAGAAAAUGUAGUUUUAAUAAUCACAUCAUCCAAUAAAGUCCCUCUAAUGUAAUGGAAAAUAUCUCACAUGAAAGAUAGAGGAGACAAAAUUUUAAAGACCUGCUGGAGGAAAAUGGGAAGCCUCAAUCUCAUGAGACUUGAGGAAUGUAUCUUUUUUUUUUUUUUUCUGUAUCUAAUUUUUUUUUUUGUCUUUUGUUUUUUUAGGGCUGUACCCCCGGCAUAUGGAAGUUCCCAGGCUAGGGGUCAAAUAGGAGCUGCAGCUGCUGGCCACCGCCACAGUGACAGCCACACGGGAUCCAAGGCGUGUCUGCAACCUACACCACAGCUCAUGGCAACACCAGAUCCUUAACCCACUGAGUGAGGCCAGGGAUUGAACCCGAGUCUUCAUGGAUAUUAGUUGGGUUCAUUAACCAUUGAGCCACAACAGGAAUUCUGAGGAAUAUAUUCUUGUUGUUGUUUGGAAACAACAGAAGUCAUGGGGACUGAAAUGAUUGUUGCUUGUGUUGUCUAUGACCAUCCUGGUUUUUCUGAAAGAGUAGGGAUAGUUUCUCAUCAUUAUAGGCAAGCAUCCUCUAAAUUAUAGGGAGAAAACUAUUAAUGUUAGACUUCAAUAUUAUAAAGACUUAGCACUGGAAAUCAAGUCCAGGGAAUAUUGUCACUCACUUUGGCAGCAGAGCUACACCAGGAAAACUUGGGGGAGGAAACACAAUAGGCAGAGAGACAGUUUCUUGUGUGGAGAAAGACUGGGUUCUGUCAAGAGUUCUGGCAUCCUAGGUUGUUGCCAGUAGGCAUCCUGGAGGGGAUGUGAUGAACUACAAGAGAAUGUGUUGGUAGGAAUAUAUCCUUUACAGCUUUAAUGCAAAAUGAGGACUAUUAAGUGUGAUCCAUUCUGCUUUCCUAGAACAGAAAUAUGUUUUCUUGAGAAAUGUCAAGAGUAUUCUUUGCAUACAGGCUGGGAGAGGAGUGGACAGAGAACAGGACAACAGGAAGCCUGGUUUUAGAGAUGUAGAGCAAAGGUGCUAUAAAACACACCAUUUGGGGUAAAAACCAGAUAAAACUUGAGAGGCACCCUUUAUCAUCAUGAGGUUCCUUUUCCUUGGAUGCCAGUGGCAUUCCUCUUAUAAGGUACUUCCCCUGUUUCUCACCCCUUGAAGGUGGGGGCUCAGACCUUCUCUCUUUCCCUGUGCCUGUUAUGACCAGAGUAUACCCAAGCCAUUCUUAUUUAUGUUGGUGCAUUCCAGCAGUGUCUCUCUCACUAACCCCACAUUGGAAUCAUUGGGAGCUUUGAACCAAUGUAUGUAUUAUUUUUUGAAAAGCUGUUUACGUGAUUCUAAUGUGUAGCCAAGGAAGAAAAUACUGUUCAAGAGCAGUGAUUCUCAAGCUUUGAUAUGCAAGUGAAUCACCUGGGGAUCUUGUUAAAUGGCAGUUUCUGGUUUCAGUAAGUCCAGGAUACAGCCUGAGCUUCUGAAUUUUUAACAAGCUCUCAAGUAACACAGAACACUUCAAGUAGCAAAAUUCUACAGCAGUAAUUCUCAAACUCUGGCCACAGAAUGAAAAGAUCACCUGGGGAGACUUCUAGAAUCCCAUUCUCCGUCUAAAGAGCUUGGAAGUUACCAUCCUGUCCUGAAAAUAAAAGCCUGAACAGACCAAAAAUCCAACAACUCUUCUUGGAUCCAAAAUGCAGGAGAGGAUACAGAGCAAAUCACUGCCCUCCUCCCUCCUGCCCAAAGAUUGGAGAGACAGGUGGGUAUAGGGAGUCUCAGCUUAAGAGUGAGUCAGCAGAAACCAAGGGAACAAGUAUACUGGUAGAAAAACCUGAACUAUAAUUGACAAAUGGCUGGAGGCUCAGAAUGGACAACUAGGAGACCCAUACAUUGGAGGUCUCCCACAAUAUUGUGAGAUUUGUCCCCAGGAGCUCCUCCAGAUUCACACAAUAAAUAGGGGAGAGAAAUUUCCUCAUGCUUCCUAUAGAGAGACCUCAGGGGGUAGGAUUAGGAGUGGGGAGAGGUACUAUUUUGAAAUACACAAGACAGAGUGCUCUGUUCUUCUUAAUAAGACUGACCUUCAGGAGAAAUUUGUUAACCAGAGCCUAACCUGCUCAGAUAUUAUCAGAGCCUAACUGACCUGAGGAAAGGAAAUACCCAACUCCAGCUCACUCUAGCCACCUAAGGGAGGAGAAAAAAACUGAGAACCACUUCUGAACUUUACCAUCUGAAGGCACAGACUCACAAAAAGACUGACUUAAUCAUAGGACUAUAGUGUGCUGCCCUCAGCCAGCCACAUACACACCUUACCAUCCAUUACUGAGGACUUGUUUAUGGUAGUUUCCUAUAGCCAGUACAUCAUGUCCAGCUAUCAAGAAAAAAAAUGACAAGCCACACUAAAAGAAAAAAAGCACAAUUUUAAGAGACAGAGCAAGCUUCAAAACCAAGUGUAGUAGGAAUAUUGGAAUUGUCAUACAGGGAAUUUAAAAUAUAUUUAUAAUUAUUAAGCUAAAGACUCUAAUGGAUAAAGUAGAUACCAUGAAAGAACAGGUGGGCAAUGUAAACAGAGCGAUAGGAAUCCUAAGAAAAAAACCAAAAGGAAAUACUAGAAAUAAAAAAUGCUAUGACAGAAAUGAAGAAUGCCUUUGAAGGGUUUCUUAGCAGACUAGACAUGGCUAAGGAAAGAAUCUCUGAGCUUGAGGAUUUCUCAAUAGAAACCUCCAAAACUGAAAAGUAGAGAAAAAAAGAAAAGACUGGGGGAAAAAAAAAAAAGAACAGUUUAUCCAAGGAUUAUGAAACAGCUACAAAAGGAGUAACAUACCUAUAAUGGUAAUAACAAAGGAGAAGAAAGGAAUAGAAGAAGUAUUUGAAAUGAUAAUGAUUUCUCCCAAAUUAAUGUCAAAUGCCAAAACACAGAUCCAGGAAGCUCAGAGAACACCAAGUAAUAUAAAUGCCAAAAAAAAAAACCCCUACACUUAAACAUAUCAUUUUCAGAUUACAGAAAAUCAGGAGUUCCCAUCAUGGUGCAGUGGAAAUGAAUCCGACUAGGAACCAUGAGGUUGCGGGUUUGAUCCCUGGCCUCGCUCAGUGGGUUAAGGAUCCUGCAUUGCUGUGAGCUGUGGUGUAGGUUGCAGAUGUGGCUCAGAUCUGGCAUUGCUGUGGUGUAGGCUGGCAGCUAUAGCUCCAAUUAGACCCCUAGCCUGGGAACCUCCGUAUACCAUGGGUACAGCCCUAAAAAAAAAGGCAAAAAAAUUUUUUUCAGAAAAUCAAAGAUAAACUAUUCUGAAAGAAGGCAGAGGAAAAAUAACCUCACCUAUAGAGGAACAAAGAAUUACCCCCCAAAAUUAUAUCAGCUUCUCAGAAAUCAUGAGAAUAAGAAGAGUGGAAUGAAAUAUUUAAGUAUUGAGAGGGAGAAAAAACUCUACCAACCUAAAAUUCUGUAUUUUCUGAAAUUUCAUUAAAAAGUGAAGGAGAAAUAAAGACCUCAGACAAACAAAAAUUGAGAGAAUGUGUUGCCAGUAGGCCUGCCUUAUAAAAAUCAUUAAAAGUUCUUUAGAUAGAAGGAAAAUUAUAUGGGUCAGACGCUUGGAUCUACAUAAAGAAAGCCCAUUUAGGAAGAACUAAAUUUCAGUAAAAUAAAUUAACUGAUCUAACAGAUCACAGUGUAUUUGACUGGGUAUACUUAUAUAUAAGUGAAAUGAAUAACAGCGAUGAUAUGAAAGACAAUAGGAGAAAUUAAGAUUCUUUGCUUUAAGGUACUGCCAAUGAAGUGGUAUUGUUAUUUGAAAGUGGACUUGGAUUCAUUGAAAAUAUAUAACUGAAAAAAA
RNAcentral lists this long non-coding RNA (5591 nucleotides) under Sus scrofa (pig). RNAcentral describes it as "lncRNA (ENSSSCG00055006088.1)". The record is from RNAcentral. Lineage: Eukaryota; Metazoa; Chordata; Mammalia; Artiodactyla; Suidae.